RNAcentral lists this ribosomal RNA (507 nucleotides) under uncultured bacterium. RNAcentral's name for it is "bacterial SSU rRNA". It matches the Rfam family "Bacterial small subunit ribosomal RNA", at positions 25 to 518 of the family's 1533-position model. The record is from RNAcentral.
CAGGAUGAACGCUAGCUACAGGCUUAACACAUGCAAGUCGAGGGGCAGCAUGUUGGUUGCUGCAACCAAUGAUGGCGACCGGCGCGACGGGUGAGUAACGCGUAUCCAACCUUCCCUUAGUAGAGGAUAGCCCGGCGAAAGUCGGAUUAAUACUCUAUGUUCUUCAAUGCGGACAUCUAAGUUGAAGCAAAGAUUUAUCGCGUAAGGGAUGGGGAUGCGUCUGAUUAGGUUGCAGGCGGGGUAACGGCCCACCUGGCCUACGAUCAGUAGGGGUUCUGAGAGGAAGGUCCCCCACACUGGUACUGAGACACGGACCAGACUCCUACGGGAGGCAGCAGUGAGGAAUAUUGGUCAAUGGGCGCGAGCCUGAACCAGCCAAGUAGCGUGCAGGGAACCGACUGCCCUAUGGGUUGUAAACUGCUUUUAUCAGGGAAUAAAGUGAGGCACGCGUGCCUUUUUGUAUGUACCUGAUGAAUAAGGACCGGCUAAUUCCGUGCCAGCAGCAGC